GGUCACGAGUGCCAGCGCGAAGCCCCGGCUUGCUGGCCGGCAACCCUCCGACGCGGCGGGGUGCCCCGGGUGACGACCAGGCCAGUCCGGAGCGGACUUGGCAAGCGCGGCCC
Molecule: non-coding RNA, 113 nt
Filed under: Sinomonas humi
Lineage: Bacteria; Bacillati; Actinomycetota; Actinomycetes; Micrococcales; Micrococcaceae
Also listed under: 1 other name
Description: SAM (S-adenosyl methionine) riboswitch aptamer
Rfam family: SAM (S-adenosyl methionine) riboswitch aptamer
About the family: SAM-IV is a mRNA element that regulates gene expression via direct sensing of S-adenosylmethionine (SAM or AdoMet). SAM-IV riboswitches share conserved nucleotide positions with the previously described SAM-I riboswitches sequence analysis and molecular recognition experiments suggest that SAM-I and SAM-IV riboswitches share similar ligand binding sites, but have different scaffolds.
Source: Rfam by way of RNAcentral